UUUUGUUCCUUUAUUAUUUAAUUGACUCUAUAUUUUUUUUUUGAGAUAAUUUCUUUUUUUUAAACGUGGCGUCCGGGAUACCUGUCAGCAACAUAAUUCAGGUAACUCUGUCCACCAAGGCUAGGACAGAUGGAAAGAAUCACCUAGUGUUUGUUUGUCUCUCCUGGUUCUCAACCCAUUUCAUUGACCACUAGGUCACAACCUUGGGAAUUUGAAUCUAUAUUUUCUUACCUGUAUAUUGUUCCUAAGGCAGAUGUUGCAUAAAUGUUAACUAGAGAUCUUGUAUCUAGUCAGCAUAUCAUAAAUGCAAAUCUCAAAUGGUGGUCGUUUAUUUUUAAUUUCGCUUCUGUGGCCAAUACAGAAUCCCAAUUUCACUUGGAUAACUACAGCCAAGUGAAAGCAGAAAGAUCAAACAGAAUCUGCAAAAACAUUAUGUGUGUGUGCAGCGCGAGAUUAAUGAAUUCAGUCAACCCACAGCAAAGAACAAAACCCUCAAAGCAAGCACCUUUAGACAAGAGUUUGAUUGCACCACCGUCACUAUAAGACAGUUCAAAUACAACAGAGAAUUCAUUUUGUGUGUAAACCUGUUAGUGUCAAGAGCACGACAUUCUCUGCCCUGCCUUUUCCUCUAUAUCACCACCCGACCACCACCCCCUCACCCCCACCCCACCCAAAAAAAAAGACUUUUCCCCAGUUGCAUAGCUUGCUGGGGAACAGUGGUGGCAAAAUAAGCCCAUAUUUUGUCAAUCCACCAUUCUGCCCCUAUUCUAAUGGGCCACACGAGUGAUAUUUUAGAUGGGUUAAAUUUGGGCUUCAACUAUGCAUAUUUCUGGGAAAAUGUGGAUUUGCCUAAUGGGUUAUUUUCCAACCUAUGCUCGCUCAAAAUUCUUAAUUUCAUUUCUAAAGUAGAAAACACUAUAAAGUUGGCUUUUGGUUCUGAGAAGCUUGGAGAUUCCUUUUCUUUAUUGGAUGAAUCCAAGAGGAAGCUGUCACCGCAUUUAAUGAUGAAGAGUAUAGUACAUAUCAGUCCAGUUAAAAGAAAUUAUAUACCAGUCCACCUAAAAUGUUAUCUGCUACCAACUCACAAGUUUGACUUCAACUCCGGCGACUAACGACUCUCGCUACUCCGCUAUGCCAAUGACGUCUCAGUUUACUAGCAGCAAACACAGGGAUAUCGGAUGGAAUUUGGUACAUGAGGACCAUCAAAAGAUGCAGUAAUAUGCAAUUUUUGUCUACGCACUAUUAAUGGUGGUACUACUCGAUUCAAGCAACACUUGAUUGGUGGAAAUAAAAAUGUCAAGAUAUGUUAAACUUGUCUUUAAGUUUAAGAAAGUCUCAAGAAAAAAAACCGACGAAGUUUGUACAAAGCAUAUCCAAGGCAAGAGUCCAAAAACAUACCAACUCAAGCAUUCAAGCAAGAUGGAAGUCCUUGUCAAGCAAGAGUUCUUACAGACUUGGACAAAGCAUACCCACAUAAGGAGUCCACAAAUAUACAGGCUCAAGCAUCCAAGAAGCUGAGGGUCCUUGCCAAGCAAGAGUUCUUAAUGGACUUUGAUAUUGAUAAAGUGAUGAACCAGUUUUCACAGGCUAAGAUGUUGAUAUCAAAAUGGAAUGCACAAGGGCCUGAGUUUGUCAUCAUCAAAAAGAGGGAAUUUGUUAAGACUUGUGAAGUUUUGAUGAUUGACAAGAAGCCAUGGAACAAGCAAGCUUAGCUCGUUCAUGAAAAACUAUUUUAAAAGAGUUCAACAUGCAAGAGGACUUUGUAUGGAUAAAGUCGCAUAUGCAAAAAUAAAGGAACAUAAGCUUGUUACUUCAGAUAAACAUAAAGAGAUCAGCAUAUGCUGAGAAUGAGGGUUAAUGUUUGACUACAACACUCAAGAAGAGAGUCCAAGAAGCAUGAGAGUCCUUAAGGAGUUUGAAGUCUGCUUGGUUGGAGUUACAAAUAUUCAAGGUCUUCCAAAACGAAAUUAAUGCACAUAUACUAAGAGGAAAAAAGGGAGAACACUAGCAAAUAAGAACAAUCUUUGAGAGAGUUCUGCCUAGCUAUCAAAGUGCAUCCUAAUAUGGUGAACCAAAUUGAAGAACCAGAUUCAUCUAUGUGUCUAACAGUCUUCUAUUCUAGUUAAUAUGUAUUAGGAAGUUUAUUGAGUUGUAAUUUUCAUGCUUUCUUAGUGCUAUUGUGUUAUAAAUUGGUUAAGGAGUUUAGUCUUUGAGUUGGGAUAACUCAAAGACUUGGGAACAUAAACCUUGGGUGGUUAGUGUGUUUUUAGGAGUUAGAGUUAGUUCUUGGGAUUGCUAGAAUUUUGUAAUCUGAUUUUCAAGUAGGGGAACUUAAAGUGGGUUUCAAUAGUCUAGGGAGAUUGUUGAUCAUUAGGAAUUAGAGUUUAUAAUUCUUUAGGUUACAGAUUUUGUAAUCUUUUAUUGAGAGGCUCAUUGUAUUUUGUGAAGUUGGAAAUACAUCUUGUAGAGGUACAGGUCGUGAUUUUUUACACCUUUUGUGAGCCGGGUGUUUUCCACGUAAAACUAUCGUGUUCAUUAUUUAUUGUCUUUACUGAAACACGUUAGACACCUGGUCCAUCCGUAGGCAAAAAUCGGGCAUAACUAACGUGAGUUAUUAGGACGUGUAGAAAUAUCAACAUGUUUGUGUUAGAUCUAUAACUAAAUUUAAUACUUAUCUCUAAGUCAAGAAAAAUAGAUGAGGAACAACACGACCCAUCCAUCAUCACGAUUCUUACUAUUGCCAAGACCAUAAGCCACCUCUGUACACAACUAACCAGUACUAUUUGUAUAGAUGCAUUUAUGCUUUACUGGUAUGGAAUCGUCAUUUGAUCCCCCGAUGAAAGGUUAGUUAUUAUCUAUGUCCUUAAAAUUUUUUCCAUAACUCAGCAUAGCUCUGAAACCUUCCUCCAUAACAUACCAGCAGGAAAACUGUCUCUUUUUUAUGUAACACAGUAACACUCAUCAUAUGUUCAGAAAACAAAAAGAAGUAACUUGUAAAAAACAUCAAUCAAAAAAGAGUAGAGUGCAUAAACAAACUGUAACUUAAGUCGACCAGAAACGAUAUUACAGAAAACAUGAAACCUAAACGACUUGGCACCCAAAAAAACCAAUAAUUGUGCAGCAACAACAACAGCACUGUAGCAGCAUAUCCUACCUUGUUUAAA
This is a long non-coding RNA of Capsicum annuum, 3164 nucleotides long. RefSeq lists it as uncharacterized. The record is from RefSeq and is a predicted model, not a curated record. The transcript is spliced from 5 exons. NCBI's taxonomy places the organism in Eukaryota, Viridiplantae, Streptophyta, Magnoliopsida, Solanales, Solanaceae.